Long non-coding RNA from Haliotis rubra (blacklip abalone), 3032 nucleotides. RefSeq lists it as uncharacterized. The transcript is spliced from 3 exons. NCBI's taxonomy places the organism in Eukaryota, Metazoa, Mollusca, Gastropoda, Lepetellida, Haliotidae. The record is from RefSeq and is a predicted model, not a curated record.
UGUACAGAAGUCAGGGAAUGCUCCACUCUGUAACUAACAGCCUCUUUAUUUCAGACAGUUAGUCAACUAUGUCAUCAUUAUUGUGGAAAAACACCUGGGUGCCCUUUCACGGAAGACUCUUAGCGCUGCAACGUCGUAAACCACGUCAUAAAGCAGCUCUUGAAUUUUUGUACUUUUCCACAAAGACCUCCAUAAGAACUUUAAGCAGCAUCGUUAACAACCUCUUAGCAUGUACGCUAGGUAACGGCACUUGUAACUAGCUUACGAUUUGUAAGUCAGUGUCUUAUACUGGGAUGUCCUACAGUAGGUAGUAGCGGCUCGGACAUUGUAGUGCUAAAAGGAUGUUUGUGAAACGGCACCCUGCUGUUCAGACAGAGAGAACUUUACUACUGGUUAGAAAGCAAGCACUGGUCAACUAGAUUUGGAAAUAUGGCUUUUUUUGUGCUUUUUUGCCAUCAGGUAUAAUUUUGUGUAUUAUUGAGAAGUAUGAAUAUAGUUGUUAAGAAGGCAACGUUUUCUUUUCACAUUAUAAGUUUUUGUUUUUUCGUAUUUUAGGGCGGUAUUGUUGUUUGUCAUAUAUCUUUAUAAAAUGUAAGACAAAUUUAAAUUUCCUAAACUUCAUUUCUUCCAAAUAGCUGUUUAAUAUUUACCCUUGUAAUAGCAAGUCUGGCUUCCUGCUGUGUAGAGAAGCCCUUUAGGUGUAUGAAAAUAUAUACUUUAUUUUACCCAGGUCUGAAUUAAUUUAAAACAUUUUAUGUGUUGAUGAAAGUUGAGAAUGAACUUGGAUCAGAAUAGGAUGUUUUUGUCUCAAACAAUGUUAGGGUUUUUCCACAAUAAUGCGUAGAUUAUUUUUAUUUUGUUUAUUAAACAAAGUCAGACAAUUUUUAGAUAUUAUUUGCAGCAUGGAGUGAACUAGGUACUAGAUGAUACGACCCUGCAGAUACAUUAAUCCUUGCAUACACCUACAACCAUGGAUGAUUAGUGUCCUCAACACUGCCUGUAGUCAUUCACAGUUGGGACGGUGGGUAGUGUGUCGCCUCAUCUCACCACAGUGGUUCAAAUCCUUGCAUACACCUACAACCAUGGAUGCUUAGUGUCCUCAACACUGCCUGUAGUCAUUCACAGUUGGGAUAGUGGGUAGUGUGUCGCCUCAUCUCACCACGGUGGUUUGAAUCCUUGCAUACACCUACAACCAUGGAUGCUUAGUGUCCUCAACACUGCCUGUAGUCAUUCACAGUUGGGACAGUGGGUAGUGUGUCGCCUCAUCUCACCACGGUGGUUCGAAUCCUUGCAUACACCUACAACCAUGGAUGCUUAGUGUCCUCAACACUGCCUGUAGUCAUUCACAGUUGGGACAGUAGGUAGUGUGUCGCCUCAUCUCACCACAGUGGUUCAAAUCCUAUCAUGAGACACUUGGGUCUAGUAAUACUGAUGUCUCUGGUGUCUCGUGGAGCCCAUGGUUAAAGCGUUCACUCAUAACGCCAAACACAUGGGUUUUCCCACAUGAGUUUGAAGCCCUUUUUAGGUGUCCCCGCUGUGAUUUAUUGCUGGAAUAUUGGUAAACUUGGCGUAAAACGUAACUCUCUCAUUCAUUACUGAAUGAAGUUUCUGGAUUGAAGUUUAAAUGCCUAGUAUUCUAGUAACCGACUGAAAUGAGUAUCGGUUGGUCAAAAUGUCUGAUUUGGUUUCCGAGCAUUGUACAGAUUCAGUUAUUUACACAUACUGUAAUACUACUUUUUAUGACUUAAUAUUGUUUUCUGACAUAGCAGUAACGCGUCACAGCUGGUAGUAGGCAGGUGUCAAACAGGUAGUAGGCAGGUGUCAAACAGGUAGUAGGCAGGUGUCAAAAAGGUAGUUGGCAGAUGACAGGAAGUAGGCAGGUAUCACACAGGUAGUAGGCAGAUGACACAAGAAAUAGGCAGUUGUCACACAGGCAGUAGGCAGGUGUCACACAGGUAGUAGGCAGGUGUCACACAGGUAGUAGGCAGGUGUCACACAGGUAGUAGGCAGAUGACAAGAAGUAGGCAGUGUCACACAGGCAGUAGGCAGGUGUCACACAGGUAGUAGGCAGGUGUCACACAGGUAGUAGGCAGGUGUCACACAGGUAGUAGGCAGAUGUCACACAGGUAGUAGGCAGGUGUCACACAGGUAGUAGGCAGAUGACACAAGAAGUAGGCAGUGUCACACAGGCAGUAGGCAGGUGUCACACAGGUAGUAGGCAGGUGUCACACAUAGGCAGCUGUCACACAGGUAGUCAGCAGGUGUCACACAUAGUAGGCAGCUGACACACAGGUAGUAGGCAGGUGUCACAGGUAGUCGGAAGGUGACAUGCAUGACCAGCGUUUAACCCCACUCUGUAUAGACAACAUUCUCCCCUCCAUAGCAGGAACAUUCUGCUGGAACUUAGAACUUAUCCCCUGCUAAUCCUGUCAGGAAUUCCCUGAGAUCAAGUCCCCCUCCUAGACUCUCCCCCUGCAUGGAGUGUUGCUACUGGCAUGGUCCACCAGAUGUUUUACUUUCUUAUCCGAUUAAUGUCUCUCCACCUUGAGUUGAUUCUGUUGGUUUAGUAACGUGUGUCACAUGUAACUUCUUCAGUAAAAUAUGUGUGGUGAAAUCACUUGUAAUGACUAGAACUUGUCCUAUAUUUAAUUACCAGUUUUGAUUAACGAUAACAUAUAUUGACACUUUCAUGACUUUCAUUACUCCAGUUUAACUUAACAGUUGUUCUUCACAACCCUCGAUAUCACCCAAUUUUAAAGUUUAAGUUGAAUGAAUUAACAGUCAGUAAUGAUAUUUAUGUGAUGAGUAAGUCUCUGUUACUCAAACCCGGAUUUGUGCAGGAAUUUGACAAGUUUAUGAAAUUAAUAUUGGAAGUUGAAUGCCAUUCAAACUUGAAUCCUGAAAUUAGAAAUAUAGUUUUUAAAGUUGAUAUAGAUCUCACAUUUCAACCAGUUGGUUUAUGCGCGAUUAGAUACAAUAGUGCUGUUAUCCCCAUGUUGUUGUAGUGUUGUUUCAGUGUUGUUCAACUGUUG